Molecule: RNA transcript, 13137 nt
Organism: Gorilla gorilla gorilla (western lowland gorilla)
Lineage: Eukaryota; Metazoa; Chordata; Mammalia; Primates; Hominidae
Gene: FAM53B
Gene name: family with sequence similarity 53 member B
Exons: 2
Source: RefSeq, a predicted model, not a curated record
GUGAAAACACGGCCAGUGGGAGCGGGGCUCUGGCGUCACAGACAUCAGAACUGCAGACACCUGGCCCAGGCGUCCGUGUUCUGUGUGUCCUGCGGCCACCGAGGCUGCUCACAGACAUGAGAGGCCAUUCCCCACCCAGAACCAUUGGUGACAAACAGGCAGCCGCCUCCUCUAACCUCCGCAGGAUGGGGCCCGGCCUGGCAGCUGCCUCCAGUGGCCAACGUGGGCCUCUGUGGACAAGGCAGGUGCAGCUAAGGCUGCAGGCGCAAAGCAAUCCCAGGGUGGGCGGGCAGGGGGCCACCUGAACCUCUGUAACAGCAAAACAGUGUUUUCCUGGGAUCUCCCUCUUCCUGUUGUUCUGUGAAAGCACCUACCAGCCAUGUGAAAAGCCACCCGGCUAACCACCCACAUGCAGGCGUCUGGCACAGGGUGGCUCACUGGCCGUUCAGGGGUCGGCCCCUCCUGAUGUUUGCAUGUCCCCCUUGUGUGAAACUCAGAUUUAAUUUGGUGAUUAUUAAAGUGCAGGAACCUGGGGCUGGUAGAGGUUUUUUGUCCACAGAUUUUGCAAAGUGCGGUUAAAAAAAAAAUGCAUACGCUUUGUUGCUACCAAUAAAGAGAAAAGGAAAGAAAAGAACUUUGGUAGAGAAACAUCGAGAGAUUUUAAUAUGGAGAUGGGGUGGGAAUUCGACCUUGGAAAACACAAGCGAUCACGUGAAUAGGAUUUUGGCCUUUUCUAACUUAGUGUGUGCUCUGCUCUUAAGAUAAAUACACACACACAGAGAUAGACAUGGCAUUUCAUUUUCGGACAGUACAUUCACGUGUUCGAAAAUUAAAACAACAUACAGAGUAAACUCUUGCCCCAUCUCUCCCAUCUCCCAUGCCCUCAGACGGACCGCUAGUUUCUUGUGCUCCUUUUUACAAUGUAAGCAAAUAGGAAUUUCAAUUCUUAUUAUAACAGAGGAGAUAAUAGCAUGCAAUACAUACCUUGCUGUACCUUGUUCUCUUGAAUAGUAAACCCUGGAGGUGUUCUCAUGCCCUUUUUUUUUGGCUGCACGGUGUUCCACUGCACAGAUGUACCCACUUUGCGGGGUCCCCUGCCGACUCUUCCGGGCUUCUUCAGCGUGAAUUUCAUGUGCAUGAGUCCCUUUGGGCAUGGGAGAUCCGUCUUCUGCAGGGUCCAUUCCCAUCGGGAUUGCUUGGUCACACGUCGUGUGCCUUUGGCCUCUUGGAGGAUGUCGCCAGGUUAAUGCUGUAGGAGCCCUUCCUCCCUGCAUCUCAGAGGGCCACGUUCAGGGUGGUUUGUUUCCCACCCCACCUCUCAGUAGAGGCUGGUCCAGCAUUUGACAUUUUCACAACCAGAUAGGUAAACGGUUUCUCUGUCAUUUUAGUUUGCAUUUUUCUAAUCAGUUGAACAUCUUUUAUAUAUUUAAAGGCUAUUUUUAUGUCCUUUUCUGUGUUCUUUUCAUUUGCCCUUUUAAAAUGAUUGUGUCGGCUGAGCGUGGUGGCUCACACCUAUAAUCCCAGCACUUUGGGAGGCCGAGGCGGAUCACAAGGUCAGGAGUUCGAGACCAGCCUGGCCAAUGUAGUGAAACCCUGUCUCUACUAAAAAUACAAAAAGUUAGCCGGGUGUGGUGGCGGGCCCUGUUUUCCCACCGACUCGGGAGGCUGAGGCAGGAGAAUUGCUUGAACCCAGGAGGCAGAGGUUGCAGUGAGCCAAGAUCAUGCCACUGCACUCCAGCCUGGGCGACAGAGCAAGACUCUGUCUCCAAAAACAAAAAUAAAAAUAAAAAAUAAUUGUGUCAUUGGUCAUUUUCUUCUCAAUUGUAUAUUAGGGAGAUUAAUUUUUGCCUGCGAUAUGAGUUACAAAAUAUUUAUUACUAAUUUGUUCUUUGUUUUCUGACUUUGCUUUUGACAUUCUUGAGCUUUAUUGAGAUAUAAUUCAUAUACCACACAGUUCACCCAUUUAAGGUGUACAACUUAGUGGUCUUGAAUAUAUUCACAGAGUUCUACAGCCAUCACCACAAUCAAUUUUAGAACAUUUUUAUCACCUCAAAAGAAAGUCCAUACCCCUUAGCAGUCACUCCCCGUCCCCUUCAGCCACCCCCACUCCCAGCCACUGGCAACCACAAAACUGUGUUCUGUCUCCAUGGGUGUAUUAGUGCGUUCUCACGUUGCCAUAAGGAAAUACUUGAGACUAGGUAAUUUUAAAGGAAAGAGGCUUAAUUGACUCACAGUUCAGCAUGGCUGGGGAGGCCUUAGGAAACUUACAGUCAUGGCGGAAGGGGAAGCAAACACAUCCUUCUUCAUAUGGCGGCAGGUGAGAGAAGUGCUGAACAAAGCCCCUUAUAAAACCAUCAGAUCUCGUGAGAACUAACUCACUAUCACGAGAGUAGCACGAAGGUAACUGCCCCCAUGAUUCAGUUACCUUCCACUGCGUCCCUCCCACGAAAUGUGGGGAUUAUGGGAACUACAAUUCAAGAUGAGAUUUGGGUGGGGACACAGCCAAACCGUAUCAGUGGGUUUCCCUAUUCUGGACAUUUCAUAUCAAUGGAUCCAUGAAAUAUGUGGCCUUUUGCAUCUGGCUUCCUUCACUUAGCAUCAUGCUUUCAAGGGUCAUCCACACCGUAGCAUGUAUCAGUAUCUCCUUUCUUUUUAUGGCCAAAUAAUAUUCUGUUGUACAGCUAGACCACAUUUCAUGUGUCCAUUCACCAGUUGAUAGACAUUUGGGCUGUUUCUACUUUUUGGAUAUUUUGAAUAACACUGUUGUAAAUGUUUGUGUACAAGUUUCUACAUAGACAUAUGUUUUCAUUUCUUAGACAUGGAAUUGCUGGGUCUGAUGGUAACUCUGUGUUGAACAUUUUGAGAAGCUGCCAAACUGUUCUCCGCAGCGACUGUACCAUCUUACAUUCCUACCAGUGCUUUUGGCAUUUUUUGACAUGUAAAUGUUUUUAUCAAAUUUAUUACUUAUUUCUUUUAUGGCUCUGGAUUUUGAGUUUUAGAAAGGCCUUUUUUUCUCACGAGAUGAUAAAGGAAGUCUCCUGUUUUCUUCUAGUACUUUGAUGGGUUAUGUUACACUCUUUGGUCUGUGUUGAGUUUAUCUGGUAUGUGGUGUGAGUAUGGAGCCAGCAUUUUCUUUAAUGUAGCUGCCUGUCUGUUUCAGUACCAUCUGUUGAGAAUGCCAUCUUUUCUUCUCUGCUUUGAGAUUCUACCCUUAUCAUAUACUAAACCGGGUCUAUUUCAGAACAUUCUGUUUCAUUGGUCUCUGUAGGUAUGCAUGUACGUUCAUACUAAUAUGCUGUUUUAGUUAUGGAGGCUUAGUAAUGUGUUUUGGCAUAUUAUAUGGUACGGGCUAGUCUAGGAGGGUUAGCUUCCCCACUGUUCUUUACAGAGUUUUCCUGACUAAUCUCACUUGUUUAUUUUUUCAUUAAAAACUUGAAAAUCAGUCUGUCUUAAGACCAUGGGGAUUGGGAGUAUUGUUGAUAUUUUAGAUUGGGAUCAUAUUAGACUUCUGAAUUAAUUUAGGGAGAAUUUACACCUUUUUGAGGUUGAGUCUUCCUAUCCCUCACACAGGAUUUAUUUCUAUUUGUUCAGUCUUGCUUUUCUGUUCUUUAAAGUUUUUUUUUUUUUUUCUAUCAAUUUUCCCAGUUCUUAUUAUAAGUUCAUUCCUGGGUAUUUUAUCUUUUGUGUUGCUGGCAUAUCUUCUUGCUCUUGAAAGUAGAUUGUUGUUAGCAAGAGUGGUUGGAUAUAAGCAGAGCUCCCAGACCCCUUUGCUGUGGCCUUGCUGUGUCCACAGAGAGCCAGAGGCACAGUUGUGGGGUGGAGCGUGGGAAGGGGGGAUCGCACCCUUGGUGGUCUCUAUUUAUCCCUCCAAACACUUCUGAGGCUUUGAGGCUCUUAUUAGCCUUCGUACACAUGAGAAACUGAGGCACAGAAGUUUAAUGAUUUGCCAAGUUCCCUCGGGGCACACUUGAGCUGGGAUUCCAGCCCAGGCCUGUCCAGCCCAUACUACCCCACCGUCCUGCCAGAGGACCGCAUGCUUUCCUGAGCACAGCCCAGAGUGAUGAGGUGUGAUUGCGCAUCACGCAGCUGUGCAGUCUGGGGCACGCCACUUCUCCUCACUCGGCCUCUGUCUGCUCAUCUGCAAGAGUGGCUAAACCAGUUGGUGAUUUGCUCACUUCUCCAAGAAGAAUCCCCUUUCUCCAGUGUGCCCUCCAUGGAAGGCAAUAUGUGGAACAGAGCUGUGAGCUGCUGGGGUGGAGCCCAGAGGCCGUGCUCAGCAGUCCUGUCUUCAGCACCCCGAUGUGGCCCCAGGCAGCUGAAUGCGAACGAGUGCCCACCAGCCCCUCUGAGAGCCUUGGACAUACCUUCUGCAUCGCUAGUCCUGCUCAGAAGCCACCCCCAAAACUGUGAGCCCUGCUGGUCGACUCUGUUCAAGGUCUGUGGGCGCAGGCAGUACAUUAGCCUCGGCCCCCCGCCAGAACCCUGUGUGCUUUGGAAAGGUCCCUUGACUUUUGUUAGGCAAAGAAUUCUCUUCACGCCAAGCUGCGAGCGAGGUGGUUUCACAAGUCCUGUCCUGAGUGUGUGCUGGCUGGAAUGUACACCACAGAAACAAAAUGUUUGUUUUCCAAUUGUGAGAGCACCGGGAGGCCCUUUGGCGUCAGCUCCCACGCCUUCUGUGUUCGGGCAGGCCAUCUGCCAUGUGGGGCCUGGUGCAGAAACGUCGCCACCGUGUGGCCUGUGGGGUGCCCUCGGAGAGGGGCCACUGGGUUGGCCACCAUUCAGAGGACACGCGUGGCUCGGGCCUCCAAGGUCUGUUCUUACCCACGGCGUCCUGGGGUGUAGGCCUCAGGACCCCAGGGCUGUGCAAACAGAGGCCCAGUUGGGAGGGCCGACCGGGGUGGGCCCUUCCUUCCUACCUACCCUCUGCCCCCAGGCUGCACGAUGCACCCACUGUGAACCAGGCCGUGGCAUGUGGGGUCAGGGUUCCCUGCACGCUUGGCAGGAAAUGGGGUACACACAGGAGCUUGGGCCUGCUUCCGGAGUGGCUGCUGCAGAGGCGGGUUUUGGUGGGACAGAAGGAAUCUGCCAGUGAAGAGGGAGAAAGGGCGGGGCCGUCAGGAUGGUGCUGACCCAGGGCUGGUGCAAAGGGGGUUUAUGUGGCUGAAAGAGGUUUGCUAUAGAAGGAGCUAGAGCAUGAGUGGGAGCAGCAAGGGCGGAGGGCCCAGGAAGCAGAGCCUGAGGAAGAGGGGCCUUGGGAAAGGCCAGCCCGAGAGUGGUGGCCGGGCUCUGGCCUGCGUGGCGGGUUUGGCCCGAUGAGCACCACUCUGGUGAACUUGACAACUCCCCAGGCCAACGGAGUGACUUUCUAGGGCUCCGUUUUGAGGAACCCUCUGUUGCUGAUAGCCCACGGGAUGAGUGGACUCCACAGGGCACCUGCUGGAGCCCACGCUUGCCUUCCUCGGGUCUGGCAGGGAAGAUAGUAGGCUGGGCCUGCUGGCCCUAGGUCCGUCUUCAGAGGCCUGGGAUUUUAGGUGUCUGGGCUGGGGAUGGGCCGUCCCCAAGAUCAACUCCUUCCCCCACUCCUUCAGCCUCCGGAGGCCAUAGGUAAUUUUCCUUAGAGUCCUUGUCCCCAGCUGGGUCCUAGGCCUCGAGUUACCGUAGGCAAGGCCACACUACGUAAAGAAUCCAGUGGGGGGGUGCCCCCAGGAUGCACAGCAUGGGGGCCCCAAGAGAGCCACCAGAGUGGGGACAGCAAGGCCAAGGGAUGGCUGGGGGUGUGGAGACCAUGGAGAGAGCCCCAAGCUGGUGCCACCCUUCCCGAAGUGACUCAGCGUGGCCUGGACUGGCCGCCACAUGGCAUACCUGGCUCUGGCACCACCUGGGCCUCCCAGAUCUGGAGGGGAUGUCAGAUUUGGGGCAAGAUACCUUGUCCACAGAAAAGGAAAAAUGGCGCCUGCCCUGUGAGUCUGACCAGCCUGAGACAGUGCCGCCAAAGUCUGUCCCCUGCUGUACUGGCUCCUGGAACGGGGUGACCACAAUCUGGCUGGCAUGUGGCAGGCGCUCAGUACACAUUUGUUGGCCUCUGCAGAAAUGAGCUAAGGAAACUGUCACAGGAAGGUGGGCACUUUCCAAGUAACUGACCAGGGCCAGCCUUCCACCCUGUAGAUAUUUACCACCCCCAACUGGGCCAUUUGCUUCUAAAACCUGUGGUCUGGGAAGAGCCUUGAGUAGCCAUUGCCAAAUCAGUGGAGCUCCCAGGGCCCUGGAGUACCUUCCCGCUCCUGGCAACUUGAUUUCCCUAUUUUCAGGCCCUGGCAACCUGGCUUCCCCAUCUGGGUUUUGCUGCCAGUGUUGCCCUGAUUCCUGAGGGUAAGGAGGCAGUCCAGACUCAGAAGGGCUGCCUCUUUGGGGUCCAAAGGUGGUAAGCAUUUCACAAAAAUGGGCUGGGCAUGAUGCUGUCCCCUGCUUUUCUUUUUUUGGAGAGACAGGGUCUUGCUCUGUUGCCCAGGCUGGAGUACAGUGGUGCGAUCUCGGCUCACUGCGACCUCUGCCACCUGGGCUUCAGUGAUCCUCCCGCCUCAGCCUCCCGAGUAGCGGGGACCACAGGCAUGCGCCGCUAUGUCAGGCUAAUUUUUAGUUUUUUUGGUAGAGAUGGGGUUUUGCCAUGUUGCCUAGGCUGAUCUCAAACUCCUGGGCUCAAGCAAUCCACCUGCCUUGGCCUCCCAAAGUUGUGGGAUGACAGGUGUGAGCCACCCCGCUUGGCUGAUGCUAUCCCUUUUUAAGACUGGGCACCAACACGGCUCUGGGCGAGCAGCUGACCUGGCCUACACAGGAGGUGGCUGGGCAGCAGCAGAAGACCAGAUGCCCGGGGGAAGGGCCCUGCAGAGCCUGGGCAGUCAUCCCCUAGGGAAAGGUUGGCCAUGCCCACAGCCUUCGAGGCAUCUCUAGCACCUGCAGCCUCAGAGGAAAAGAAGCCACCACCGCCUGACCCCUCUGGCCCCAGGGGCAGGGGCAGCAGCUUCCUGUGAGAAAGAGUAUGGCCUUCACGCAAAAUCCAGAUUUACCAGAGAUGGGUUAAAGAUGGGCCAAAAAUAUGCUUGUGCCUUUUUUUCUUUUCUGAAAUAGUUUUUUAAAAAGCCUAGGAAACCACAUGCCUUGCCGUCUUGGUUGUUUCUGUGCCAGCUUCCAGCACAAAUGGGACUUAGAAAAUUUCCAGGCUGUUGGCCAUCCAUUCUCAUAGCCUGGUGUUUUCUUGAUACUUGGAGAAUUCUGUUCUCAUGCAAGCGUCUGUUUGGGGAGGAAAUGCGUCCACUCAGCCAGAGCCUGGGGCCCCUGCAGCUUUCAGCAGGGCAGCUGCCAGGCCAGGCUGGGGACCAGCUCUGCUCGUGACUUGCGAGUUGGGCUUGUUGAUGGCCCUUUCUUAGAGGGACUCGAGGUAGCUCCAUGAAGACCUCUAACAGAGCGCCAUAAAACUGGACUAAAAAGGGAGAGAGCAAGGGAAGGAGGAAACGCAGCUGGUCCCGCCAUGAGGAGCAGUGGCACAGGAGAGAAGUGGUCAUCGCUUGCCCAAAAGGGAGGCACUUGAGCACCUCUGGGAGACGGGCUUGGCGCAGGCAGGGGCCCAGAGGAAGCCUCAUGUGAGCACUACACUUAAGACACCGACUAACCGAGGAGAGGCGUCCCCAGCAACCACCCCUCCCAGCACAUGCCAGGUGGGCUGGGGCCAGGAACUGGACUCCCCACAGGGCCCCGUGGCCAGUCUCUGACCAUGGCUUGACAUUCCCAUUCUAGAAAGAAUAGUAGUACUAAGAAGCAGGUGCAUAACCUAUAACUACAUUAACACCCAGGGUGCUUUUACCUGUGGCUUCAGAUUGGGUCCCUAGAAGCGGGGCCUGAGCCGGGGAUUCUCGUGCCAGUGACACACAGAGGGAUGCUCCCAGCAGGAACCUUCAGGGAGGCGAGGGAAGCCCAUGAACUGCAGAGGCCCAGCAAAGAGGUGGGCUCAGCUGAAGUCGCUUCUCAGCCUGGUGCUUUGGGAGCUGUGAAGUGUGACUAGCACGUGGGACUUGAUCCUGCCCAAGACGAGGGGCAGCUCCUGUCCCUGCACCUGUCGGUCAUUGGCUGGGGGUGACCCCAAAGGGAAAGAGGGUAACCUCCUUCCUAUCCUAGAUCUCCCAGCCCAGAGUAGUUCCGGAAGGGGCAGCCAUGAACUGUCAGAGCCAACACUCACAGCAGUGGAGAGUGGGCACUGCCGUGGGUUUGGGACUCCAGGCGGGACACCAGCAGCCUGGCUUUCCUCUUAGGAUCCUUGCAGUGGCCCUGUGAAGCAGCCUGGCCAGGGACAGCAGUUCUGCUUCCCAGGGGAGGAAAGGGGAAGUGAGGCCACUUGGCCAGUGGAGGAACUCAGUGCCUCCAGCUGCAGAGUCUAGUUUCCCACUCUCCUCUCCGGAACCGUCCAGGUUCAGUGGAGAGCCAGGGCCCAGGGGGUGAGAAUACCCCGGCCUCCUUCGGAGGAGGCAACCAGGACAAAGGGGAGUGGUCACUAUCUGCUCCCAGACAUAUCACCUGACCAGCCAGCUUUGUCUUUGUCACCGGAUGCCCACUCCUGCAUGUGGGGCCGUAGCUCAUGAGUUCUAGGGACAGUAGUCCCUAGACAAAUCCUGGGGCUGUUUCCCCCUCCACUCCCCAGGCCUUGCCCUUCGGAGCCCAGAGUGGGUUCUGGGUCACUACUGAUAAAACAUGUGGUUUAGUUCAGCUCAGGAGAUGUUUCUAGCGUCUCUAUUACGUGUUCACCCUGCUGGCCCAGGAACAGCAGCACCUGGGAGAGGGAAUGAGCUUGUUGGGCUGAGGCUGGACGGAGUGAGUAGCAGUCUGCCUGGCAGCAGUACAGAGCUGAUAUGUUGAGUCGAGUUUCCUGAGGCGGGUCUGGAUUUCAGCUUGUACCUAGAAGGCAAGGACCAGGCCACCUUUGUCUGUAUCCCCGUGGACUCAGGAGAAAGUAUGGGAAUAAAUAUCUGCACAGAACAGCCCUGCAGAAGAGGGGUCAUUGCUCCAAGCUGGGAAGCCCUAGGGAAGCCGGCUGGGGCGGGCUGAGCAGGAAACCCCAGCUGGGGCCAGCGGGAAUGGCCAGGGCCUCUUUGGUGGCUAGAGCUGAGGUCUAGGGGGUCUGAUGGAAAAGGCAGGGCCUCCAUCCCAAAGUUGCCUCUCUAGCAGGCUGCUGUGGUCUGCCUUUCGCAGACUCUAGGAGUAGGUCUUGAUCCAUGUCCCUGGCCACUAGCCUGAGGCCAUAGGGACAGUUCCCACUGAGCUUUUUACCUGGGCAGGCCUGUUCCAGAGUAGGUGGCCCAGCCCAGGGCUGGGGCUGGAUGUCAAGAGAGCAAAAGUCGACGGGCUGGGGGACAGUUGGUCUUGGAGCAGCAGUUUCACCUUGGAAUAAUGUGUUCAUGCAGCACUUUGAACUUAGCCAUUUUGCGGCUUUUUGCAGACAUUUUUGAGGGCACACAGGCCUCCAGGCUUCCAACUUGCCUGUGCAGCGUUCUUCCGUGGGGUAGCUAGAGCUGCUAGGAGACGCUGGGGCGGGACCUUGCCCCGGGGCAUGGAGGGCACAGGGCAGCUGCAGGGCCUGGGUGUGGCACACCCUGGGUGUCUGCAUGGGGGUUGCUCACGAGGGAUGGGGCUCUGGGCAGAACACACACCGCCCCAUUGUGGCAGUCACAUUCCUUCCUGACAGGUGGGGCUCGCCACCAGCUGGGGCAAACAGUGGGUGGUUCUUGGCUUUCUUUUACUGUGGCUGAAAUGGCUGUUUUGAGUCAACGGAGUUCUCAAGGUUUCGCUGGCUUUGUGGCCAAGAAGCAGGUAUAUUUGAAGAAUACUGGAGACUCAGUGGCAUUCUGGGGUUUGCUUGUGACGAGAUUCACCAGCCCUUCCUUGUAGACUCCCCCUGCUUCACAGCAGAAAGGGCCCAAUUAGUCCAGAUAGCCCUGAACACCCUGACUCGGCAGGCAGGCUGGCCGCAGCCCAGAGGUGGAAGAGUUGCCUGGCGCCGUGAUGCCCCUGUGGAUGGAGUCUGCCUCUGUAUUGCCUGUCUGACCUCGGCCCCUUCCAGGGCGCGGUGAGGCAAAAGCCACACGUCUGUGAAAGGUCUAGCUAAUGGGUCUCCAGUGCCCGUGCCUGGCUAUGGCUAAUGCAUAAAGUGUCUUACUUUGUUUGGGCUGCUGUGACAAAGAUGCCUUAGACUGGGGAACUUAUAAACCGCAAAAAUGUAUUUCUUAGUUAGAAGCUGGGAAGUCCAAGAUCCAGGUGCCAACAGGAUCGGGGUCUUGUGAGGGCCCGCUCUUCAUAGUUGGCACUUUCUCACAUCCUUGUCUGGCUGGAGAGGCACCUGCGCUCCCUCCAGUCUCUGUUAUGGGCCCUCAUCCCAUCUGUGAAGGCCCCUACAUGACCUCAUCACCUCCCAGAGGCCCCACCUUUUGCACUGAGGAAUGGCGGGGCGGGGCGGGGGGGGGGCACAAAUUUCGACCGUAGCACCACGGUUAGUGCCAAGACCCACACAAUCAUGGUGGCCAUAAGUUAGGCACCCCCGCUACCUGCGCCUUAUGCCAGAGGAGGUCAGUGGGAAGCUCCGAGCAGGACCGAGAGGGUGAGCAUAGACAAGCGCUGUGCGGCUUCUGUCCGAUUGCGCAGGCUGCGCUCCUACUGCGUUCACGUGCGAGGCCACAGAAAACACCCGCAGCAGGCCACGCCCCAGGCCCCUCACAUGACAGCUCGCAGAAAACGCUGGCACGCGUUCAGGCGUCAGGCACACUCGUCUCAACAGAUGUGGCUGACACCCAAGGCAGUCGGCCUCAGUGCCCUGUCACCCACCUAGAACCUGUUCACGGCAUAUCAUCCGGGCUGCUCUGGCCUUGACUGGACAUGAUUAUUUAUUCUUACACACCAUGGCUUCUAUACAGGCCAAGAAACAGGCUGCUCAGCCAGGGUCAGGAGAAGGUGGGUCUGGGUCCCUGGGGACCUCAGGCCCUGACGCAUCCUGGCCUCACCCUAGGCCGCCUCUGUCGGGGCAGCCUUGCUCUGCAGAGCCCGGGACACACAGCUGAGGCCACCCAGGCUGGGCCGUCUUGCCCCUGUUUUGUGCGCCCGACUCAGUUCUCCUGUCCUGGCUCAGGUCUAGGCCAGUCAAGAGGGUGGCUGAGAAGCAGGAGGAGCCUCAGACCCUCCCCUCGAAAGCACUGGGGCUUCCACCUCACAAGCGUCAGGUUCGCUUUGGGAGCUGCUGGUCCAUCGCCCAGGCCUGGCCAGGGGCAGGCGAGGAUCCUGGUUGUCGAUCCAUCGUCCAGGCCUGGCCAGGAGCCGGUGAGGAUCUUGGGGCUGUUGUGCAGGGGUCGCCGUCUCCAGCUCUCUGCCGUGGUGGGGGGAUUGUGCUGUGUGCACACCACUGGGCUGCAUCGAAUCCCACCAUGGCCCAGAGGGUGGACCUGUGGCUCCUUGGGGGGCCAGCAUCUCCAGUCUAAUGGGUGCCCCUGCCCCUCUCCUGAGUCCCCGUGCAGAGCUCCCCCCAACACCUCAGGCUUCACCUUUCUCAGUUAAUCAAAAGAUUCCAAAAAAAGCAAACCCAUCAGAACGGCUUCCUCCACCGAGUGUUCAGGAACAAUGAGCGUGCCCAUGGCAGGCACACAUACCUUCCUCCAGAGAGAGCGCCUUUUAUUUCCCGUCCGCUGGGGCUGGUUCAACAGCUUGUUGGCUGUGACAGCCAGUGAUCACCUGUAUUUCAAAGAGACACACAAACACUGCAGCCUUUGAAAGAAUCAGGCCCUCGGGACAGGUCUGUGGUCUUGGCGUCGGCAGGUGUGCGGCGAGGGAGGCGGCGGGUGCUCCAAGGCCCUGCUUUGCUCCCCCAGUCCCCACCCAUCUGCUGGGAAGAAACUAAAGGCUGGAAUUCCCCCCUGCCCUCUGUGCGCAGCUCUUCCCUCGCUCCCCUCUGGUAUUCGACCUCGUUGCUGCAGUCCGGUUGGGGAUAUCCAGGACUGCGCCGGGAGUGCCCCUCACUGUCUCAGCCUCUGUCCUGUCUGUGGCGUGUGCAUCAUUCUGAGGAGAAGGCUGGAUUUUGUGCUCUGCCCUGGGAGCAGGUGUUGAACUGCACCCACUUGUGCACAGUGUCAGCCCUACCCCCAUCGCUGGCAGCUGACGCCAAGCAGAACUGGCCUGCAUACCCUUGAAAUCCUGUUCAAGCUCUGCCUGCCGCUCAGGCAGGCCCCAGGCUGCCUCCUGCCCCAGGCCAGCCUGGGAGCACACAGAGGGAGCACACUUGGUGAGCGGAGAAGCUUCUGUGCAGCCUACUGUCUCUCUGGGGCCUCAAAGGGCCCAGCAAGGCAGGCAGGGAGCAUCAUGCACCUCUUCCAGAUGAGGCCCCCAGCUGGCGAGCACCAGAACCUGGAGCCUGGCCCCUCCUCAGCAGAUCAGUCCUCCCAGUCCCCAGCACCUGUGGAGGGCACAGGACCACUCCCUUCUAGAGACUCUGCGUCUCCAGGUGAGGCCGAGAACUCAUGUUUCCCCAGCUCCCUGCAUGGCUCUGUUACACCCCAGGCUCAGGACUUCAGCUCGGCCCCUUCUAGCCUGCGGCUCCUGCUCUGGUUGUGGAGAGUGGGUAGAGCGGGUGUCGUGUCGCCCUGUGUGGGGCAGUUACAGCCUGGGUUUCCUCCAAGUCAGAUCCCUUCUCAAGGGAAGUAUCGCGGCGCGUCAGUUAUGUUUGCAUAGAGGUCCCUGCUUGAAAAACAUCAUUGAUUUCACCACCAUUGUAGGGCGUUUGGGUUACUCUCUUCUUUUCCAUUUAACAGUAUGUUGCCAAAUUUUUACACACAUUUUAGAAUGUUUUCUUAAGAUAAAAAUCCAAGUAGUGAAAUCACCUGAUCAAGGAAUUGGAUAUAUUUUCCCCAGGUUGCGCUUCAGAAAGGCUGUGGACGAAGUGUUAGGAGCAUUCCUGUUUCACCGCAGCCCCCCAGAACUGGGUCUGCAUCAAAUUUGUGUGCUUCGCCGAGUUAGUAGAACUGUCAGACCUUCAGCAGCCUCAGCUGCCUGAGCGCAGGGACAGAGGACUGCGGUCCCCAGAGCCCCUUCGCCCGCCACGUCAGCAACACCAGG